CGAGUUUGAUCAUGGCUCAGGACGAACGCUGGCGGCGUGCUUAACACAUGCAAGUCGAGCGGAAAGGCCCUUCGGGGUACUCGAGCGGCGAACGGGUGAGUAACACGUGAGUAAUCUGCCCCUAGCUCUGGGAUAGCUCCGGGAAACCGGGAUUAAUACCAGAUAUGACCACUACAGACAUCUGUGGUGGUGGAAAGAAUUUCGGCUAGGGAUGAGCUCGCGGCCUAUCAGCUUGUUGGUGGGGUAACGGCCUACCAAGGCGACGACGGGUAGCCGGCCUGAGAGGGCGACCGGCCACACUGGGACUGAGACACGGCCCAGACUCCUACGGGAGGCAGCAGUGGGGAAUAUUGCGCAAUGGGCGAAAGCCUGACGCAGCGACGCCGCGUGGGGGAUGAAGGCCUUCGGGUUGUAAACCCCUUUCAGCAGGGACGAAGCGAAAGUGACGGUACCUGCAGAAGAAGCGCCGGCUAACUACGUGCCAGCAGCCGCGGUAAUAA
Molecule: ribosomal RNA, 500 nt
Filed under: uncultured bacterium
Lineage: Bacteria
Description: bacterial SSU rRNA
Rfam family: Bacterial small subunit ribosomal RNA
Source: RNAcentral